GACGAACGCUGGCGGCGUGCUUAACACAUGCAAGUCGAACGGAAAGGCCCUGCUUGCAGGGUACUCGAGUGGCGAACGGGUGAGUAACACGUGGGUGAUCUGCCCUGCACUUCGGGAUAAGCCUGGUAAACUGGGUCUAAUACCGGACAGGAGCCAUUUUUAGUGUGAUGGUUGGAAAGUUUUUUCGGUGUAGGAUGAGCUGGCGGCCUAUCAGCUUGUUGGUGGGGUAAUGGCCUACCAAGGCGGCGACGGGUAGCCGGCCUGAGAGGGUGGACGGCCACAUUGGGACUGAGAUGCGGCCCAAACACCUACGGGAGGCAGCAGUGGGGAAGACUGCACGAUGGGCGCAAGCCGGGUGCAGCGACUCCGCGUAUGGGAUAACGGCCUUCGUGUUGUAAACUACUUUCGCUAGGGACGAGGCUUUUUGUGACGGUACCUAAAUAAAAAGCCACGGCUAACUACGUG
This 465-nucleotide ribosomal RNA is filed under the name uncultured bacterium. RNAcentral's name for it is "partial 16S ribosomal RNA". It matches the Rfam family "Bacterial small subunit ribosomal RNA", at positions 28 to 507 of the family's 1533-position model. The record is from RNAcentral.